Bombus huntii is the source of this 1874-nucleotide long non-coding RNA. RefSeq lists it as uncharacterized. The transcript has 2 exons. NCBI's taxonomy places the organism in Eukaryota, Metazoa, Arthropoda, Insecta, Hymenoptera, Apidae. The record is from RefSeq and is a predicted model, not a curated record.
UUGUGUAAAUUUCGACCAAUUGCGGGGAGACGUAAUCGCGAGGAGAGACGUCAACGGGGGUCGUAAAUCCCCGUUACGAUUAUAACAAUCGACACCACGAAUUGAUCGAUCCCCUGAUUUCCGUUGAGAUAAUAGGGGUGAUUGAGUUUGUAUAACACUGUGAUUCACAGAAUUAUAAAUUAUAUAUUUCCAACACUUAGAUUACACUGACGUAGAGAAAUAAAUAGUUAACAACUUGUCGCACGAAGAUGCGAUAGAUAUGUACGCUAGAGCAGGGCUCUUAUAAUGGAAAUUAAUGUAUUAAUGGACUUAGCACUAUAAUAUAUUUAGGAGAGAAGAUGUGUGUUCGACAACACCGAGAACCGACAAAAGAUUUGCGUGAAGUAUGCGACUCUCGCGCUAUGUGUAGACUGCCGCGUUAGGCGUUAGUUUUUAGACUGUCUGUCGCUCUUUUUCUAAUACGGAAGAAAAGUUCGGUGUGGGUGUGCCCCUGUGCCUAAAGAACGCGGAUUCGUUGUUCCCACUUUCGUUAGGAAAAGUGAGGGCAACGAACCGCGGUGUUAAUUGGUCAUGACCUGCACUACUGCUCGAAGGGAUGAGUAGGGAGUCUCCUACCAUCGCGGUGGAUAGAUGACUGUGUGCGUGAGAAAAACCUAGCUUGUUUUAUUACAGGGCUAUUCGGAUUUUCCUAAUGGGUGCAUACCCGCUUUCUCCGUGUUUUAAGUGCGACUAAUAAACCCAAGGACCUCUCUAAAAACCGACUGUGUUUCGAGAAUAUUUUUAAGCUUUAGAAAUUCUUCAAGACAAACGGAUUGAAGACACAUGGCGAAACAAUACAGGGAAGUGAAAGUUAUGGUGAGUCCUUAGGUUUAUUGAGGGUCGAAGUGACGUUACGCAGGCCGGUUGUUGUCCGGUCGCGCGGGCUGGCGUGCAGAUGUUUUAGGCGGCGUAACAAUAGGUUUCACGAAUAAUGAAUUUAAUUAACGCUAUUAACAAUGUUCCGGGGUUCAAACGAAUCCACGGUCAACCGGAUAACUCUUUACUAUGUGUAGAAUAAUUUUAAACACAAAAUACAAUUGCUGAGGCACCGGUAAAUUGCUCGAUGUAUCACUUUCCAAGGCGAUCACACGAAUGAAUAUCUGAUGAAAAUCUUUUUCGCUAUACUACUGCAUUUGUUUGUUAUAUGCUCGCUGGAAACAUCGAGAAGGUUCCAAUCGUUAUUGCUAGGCAAUUUCUGUCAAAAGUUUGUUGUAUACUCUUUGGAAACAUCGAGAAAGAUUCAAACGCCGUUACUAGGCAGUUUCUGUCUGGAGAUUGAUUCCUAAUACAACGUGUGUCCCAUUAUAUCGACAUCUCUAAAGUACAAUUCUAUGUGAUUUCUAGGGAGAACAAUACAACCGAUCCACACCUUCGUCAGGCAAAACGUUUAUCCCGUGACCGUGACUACGUUCGGCGACCAGUUGUCACCUCGAACCCACUUUCGCUUUCACAAAUAUCAAACAAUUACAAAUGACAAUUGCUUAAUUACAGUUAUGAUAAAAUCUAGGCUAAAGCAUUAGAAGGCUUCCUCAAAAUUGCAAAGGGAAGGCUCCGGUUUUCCUUUCAUCUCCGACAUAUAUAAUACAAGGAUAUAAUACAACCGAACAUUUUAAACUUAGCCUAUAGCGCGUGCGCGCACACACACGCACACACAUGACACACAUGACACACAUGCGCGCACACACAUGCGCGCACACACAUGCGCGCACACACAUGCACACACAUGCGAAUGAUUUCUCGAACGAUAAUCCAUUUAUUUAUAUUUUUCAAUAUCUGUCCUUACGAUUGCGUAUUUAUUUGUUCCACGUAUCAUAUUUAUCUAUUUGCAUAACUGU